ACCUGGGUGGCUCAGUCGGUUGAGCGUCCGACUUCAGCUCAGGUCAUGAUCUUGGGGUUCGUGGGUUCGAGCCCCAUGUCAGGUU
Molecule: transfer RNA, 85 nt
Filed under: Felis catus (domestic cat)
Lineage: Eukaryota; Metazoa; Chordata; Mammalia; Carnivora; Felidae
Rfam family: tRNA
About the family: Transfer RNA (tRNA) molecules are approximately 80 nucleotides in length. Their secondary structure includes four short double-helical elements and three loops (D, anti-codon, and T loops).
Source: Rfam by way of RNAcentral